RNAcentral lists this ribosomal RNA (468 nucleotides) under uncultured bacterium. RNAcentral's name for it is "partial 16S ribosomal RNA". It matches the Rfam family "Bacterial small subunit ribosomal RNA", at positions 28 to 507 of the family's 1533-position model. The record is from RNAcentral.
GACGAACGCUAGCGGCGUGCUUAACACAUGCAAGUCGAGCGGAAAGGCCCUGCUUUUGUGGGGUGCUCGAGGGGCGAACGGGUGAGUAACACGUGAGUAACCUGCCCUUGACUUUGGGAUAACUUCAGGAAACUGGGGCUAAUACCGGAUAGGAGCUCCUGCUGCAUGGUGGGGGUUGGAAAGUUUCGGCGGUUGGGGAUGGACUCGCGGCUUAGCAGCUUGUUGGUGGGGGAGUGGCUUACCAAGGCUUUGGCGGGUAGCCGGCCUGAGAGGGUGACCGGCCAAAUGGGGACUGAGAUACGGCCCAGAGUCCUACGGGAGGCAGCAGUGGGGAAUAUUGCACAAUGGGCGGAAGCCUGAUGCAGCAACGCCGCGUGCUGGAUGAUGGCCUUCGGGUUGUAAACCGCUUUCGCCUGUGACGAAGCGUGAGUGACGGUAAUGGGUAAAGAAGCACCGGCUAACUACGUG